GAUGAAGAACGUAGCGAAACGCGAUAGUUAAUGUGAAUUGCAGAAUUCAGUGAAUCAUCGAAUCUUUGAACGCACAUUGCGCCCGUCAGUAUUCUGGCGGGCAUGCCUGUUCGAGCGUCAUUACGCCCCUCAAGUCCCCUGUGGACUUGGUGUUGGGGAUCGGCGAGGCUGGUUUUCCAGCACAGCCGUCCCUUAAAUUAAUUGGCGGUCUCGCCGUGGCCCUCCUCUGCGCAGUAGUAAAACACUCGCAACAGGAGCCCGGCGCGGUCCACUGCCGUAAAACCCCCCAACUUUUUAUAGUUGACCUCGAAUCAGGUAGGACUACCCGCUGAACUUAAGCAUAUCAAUAAGCGGAGGA
RNAcentral lists this unclassified non-coding RNA (358 nucleotides) under soil metagenome. Its description in RNAcentral is "partial contains 5.8S ribosomal RNA, internal transcribed spacer 2, and large subunit ribosomal RNA". The stretch from base 1 to 120 matches the Rfam family "5.8S ribosomal RNA", at positions 35 to 154 of the family's 154-position model. The record is from RNAcentral.